AACGAACGCUGGCGGCAGGCCUAACACAUGCAAGUCGAGCGAAGCCUUCGGGCUUAGCGGCGGACGGGUGAGUAACGCGUGGGAACGUGCCCUUUGCUACGGAAUAGCCCCGGGAAACUGGGAGUAAUACCGUAUGUGCCCUUCGGGGGAAAGAUUUAUCGGCAAAGGAUCGGCCCGCGUUGGAUUAGGUAGUUGGUGGGGUAAUGGCCUACCAAGCCGACGAUCCAUAGCUGGUUUGAGAGGAUGAUCAGCCACACUGGGACUGAGACACGGCCCAGACUCCUACGGGAGGCAGCAGUGGGGAAUCUUAGACAAUGGGGGAAACCCUGAUCUAGCCAUGCCGCGUGACCGAUGAAGGCCUUAGGGUUGUAAAGAUCUUUCAGUGGGGAAGAUAAUGACUGUACCCACAGAAGAAGCCCCGGCUAACUCCGUGCCAGCAGCCGCAGUAA
RNAcentral lists this ribosomal RNA (449 nucleotides) under uncultured bacterium. RNAcentral describes it as "partial 16S ribosomal RNA". It matches the Rfam family "Bacterial small subunit ribosomal RNA", at positions 29 to 523 of the family's 1533-position model. The record is from RNAcentral.